Molecule: ribosomal RNA, 253 nt
Filed under: uncultured bacterium
Lineage: Bacteria
Description: partial 16S ribosomal RNA
Rfam family: Bacterial small subunit ribosomal RNA
Source: RNAcentral
UACGAAGGGGGCUAGCGUUGCUCGGAAUCACUGGGCGUAAAGCGCACGUAGGCGGAUUGCUAAGUCAGGGGUGAAAUCCUGGAGCUCAACUCCAGAACUGCCUUUGAUACUGGCGAUCUUGAGUCCGGGAGAGGUGAGUGGAACUGCGAGUGUAGAGGUGAAAUUCGUAGAUAUUCGCAAGAACACCAGUGGCGAAGGCGGCUCACGGGCCCGGUACUGACGCUGAGGUGCGAAAGCGUGGGUAGCAAACAGG